RNAcentral lists this non-coding RNA (126 nucleotides) under Aotus nancymaae (Ma's night monkey). Its description in RNAcentral is "U4atac minor spliceosomal RNA (ENSANAG00000000209.1)". It matches the Rfam family "U4atac minor spliceosomal RNA". From Rfam's summary of the family: U4atac is an essential component of the minor U12-type spliceosome complex which is required for removal of the rarer class of eukaryotic introns (AT-AC, U12-type). These interacting stem loops have been shown to be required for in vivo splicing. U4atac also contains an 3' Sm protein binding site which has been shown to be essential for splicing activity. Lineage: Eukaryota; Metazoa; Chordata; Mammalia; Primates; Aotidae. The record is from Rfam by way of RNAcentral.
ACCAUCUUUUUCUCGGGGUUGUGCUACGUCCAAUGAGCGCACAGUGAGGGCAGUACUGCUAGCGCCUACACGACACACCUGCCUGAGCUAAAGGUUUGCUUUUACCUUGGUGCAAUUUUCAGUAAA